Molecule: ribosomal RNA, 444 nt
Filed under: uncultured bacterium
Lineage: Bacteria
Description: partial 16S ribosomal RNA
Rfam family: Bacterial small subunit ribosomal RNA
Source: RNAcentral
GUAGGGAAUAUUGGGCAAUGGUCGGAAGACUGACCCAGCCAUGCCGCGUGCAGGAAGACGGCCCUCUGGGUUGUAAACUGCUUUUAUCUGGGAAGAAAAAGGCCAUGCGUGGCAAAUUGCCGGUACCAGAUGAAUAAGCACCGGCUAACUCCGUGCCAGCAGCCGCGGUAAUACGGAGGGUGCGAGCGUUGUCCGGAUUUAUUGGGUUUACAGGGUGCGUAGGCGGCUGAUUAAGUCAGCGGUGAAAGACUUCGGCUUAACCGGAGCAGUGCCGUUGAUACUGGUUGGCUUGAGUGUCGGAGGGGUACAUGGAAUUGAUGGUGUAGCGGUGAAAUGCAUAGAUACCAUCAGGAACACCGAUAGCGAAGGCAUUGUACUGGCCGACAACUGACGCUGAUGCACGAAAGUGUGGGGAUCGAACAGGAUUAGAUACCCCAGUAGUCC